GCCGGCAGGAAGUUCAGGAGCUUCUGAGGGACCGAGAUCCUGAGGAGAUUGAAUGGGACGACCUGGCCCAGCUGCCCUUCCUGACCAUGUGCAUCAAGGAGAGUCUGCGGCUGCACCCCCCAGUCACGGUCAUCUCCCGAUGCUGCACCCAGGACAUUCUGCUCCCAGAUGGCAGGACCAUUCCCAAAGGUAUCAUCUGCCUUAUCAGUAUCUUUGGAAUUCAUCACAACCCGUCUGUGUGGCCGGACCCUGAGGU
Molecule: long non-coding RNA, 256 nt
Filed under: Rattus norvegicus (Norway rat)
Lineage: Eukaryota; Metazoa; Chordata; Mammalia; Rodentia; Muridae
Description: long non-coding RNA NONRATT026582
Source: RNAcentral